UAAUCCGGGAUAACGCUUUCAGCCUGGAGUGGCGAGAGCGUGAAAUGCUCCGGCGCUAUAGGAUGUGGCUGCGGCCGAUUAGGUAGACGGUGGGGUAACGGCCCACCGUGCCAGUAAUCGGUACGGGUUGUGAGAGCAAGAGCCCGGAGACGGUAUCUGAGACAAGAUACCGGGCCCUACGGGGCGCAGCAGGCGCGAAACCUUUACACUGCACGCGAGUGCGAUAAGGGGACUCCAGGUGCGAGGGCAUAUAGUCCUCGCUUUUCUCAACCGUAGGGAGGUUGAGGAACAAGUGCUGGGCAAGACCGGUGCCAGCCGCCGCGGUAAUACCGGCAGCACAAGUGAUGACCGCUGUUAUUGGGCCUAAAGCGUCCGUAGCUGGCCAGACAAGUUCAUCGGGAAAUCUGCGCGCCUAACGCACAGGUGUCC
RNAcentral lists this ribosomal RNA (429 nucleotides) under Natrialba aegyptia. RNAcentral describes it as "bacterial SSU rRNA". It matches the Rfam family "Archaeal small subunit ribosomal RNA", at positions 147 to 575 of the family's 1478-position model. The record is from RNAcentral. Lineage: Archaea; Methanobacteriati; Methanobacteriota; Halobacteria; Halobacteriales; Natrialbaceae.